ACGAACGCUGGCGGCAGGCCUAACACAUGCAAGUCGAACGGUAACAGAGAGUAGCUUGCUACUUUGCUGACGAGUGGCGGACGGGUGAGUAAUGUCUGGGGAUCUGCCUGAUGGAGGGGGAUAACUACUGGAAACGGUAGCUAAUACCGCAUAAUGUCGCAAGACCAAAGCGGGGGACUUUCGGGCCUCGCACCAUCAGAUGAACCCAGAUGGGAUUAGCUAGUAGGUAAGGUAAUGGCUUACCUAGGCGACGAUCCCUAGCUGGUCUGAGAGGAUGACCAGCCACAUCGGA
Molecule: ribosomal RNA, 292 nt
Filed under: uncultured bacterium
Lineage: Bacteria
Description: partial 16S ribosomal RNA
Rfam family: Bacterial small subunit ribosomal RNA
Source: RNAcentral